UAGGUAGGAAUACCCGCUGAACUUAAGCAUAUCAAUAAGCGGAGGAAAAGAAACCAACAGGGAUUGCCCUAGUAACGGCGAGUGAAGCGGCAACAGCUCAAAUUUGAAAUCUGGCCCUAGCGGUCCGAGUUGUAAUUUGUAGAGGAUGCUUUUGGUUAGGUGCCUUCUGAGUUCCCUGGAACGGGACGCCAGAGAGGGUGAGAGCCCCGUACGGUUGGACACCGAGCCUCUAUAUAGCUCCUUCGACGAGUCGAGUAGUUUGGGAAUGCUGCUCUAAAUGGGAGGUAAAUUUCUUCUAAAGCUAAAUACCGGCCAGAGACCGAUAGCGCACAAGUAGAGUGAUCGAAAGAUGAAAAGUACUUUGAAAAGAGGGUUAAAUAGCACGUGAAAUUGUUGAAAGGGAAGCGUUUGCGACCAGACUUUUUCCAGGCGGAUCAUCCGGUGUUCUCACCGGUGCACUUCGCCUGGUUUAGGCCAGCAUCGGUUCUCUUAGGGGGAUAAAGGCCUGGGGAACGUAGCUCCUUCGGGAGUGUUAUAGCCCCUAGCGUAAUACCCUUCGGGGGACCGAGGAACGC
RNAcentral lists this ribosomal RNA (575 nucleotides) under Daldinia loculata. RNAcentral describes it as "eukaryotic LSU rRNA". It matches the Rfam family "Eukaryotic large subunit ribosomal RNA", at positions 12 to 596 of the family's 3401-position model. The record is from RNAcentral. Lineage: Eukaryota; Fungi; Ascomycota; Sordariomycetes; Xylariales; Hypoxylaceae.